CUCCGGUGAUCCCUGCCGGACCCGACUGCUAUCAGAGUGAGAUUAAGCCAUGCGAGUUAACGUAGCAAUACGUGGCGCACGGCUCAGUAACACGUAGUCAACAUGCCCAGGGGACGUGGAUAACCUCGGGAAACUGAGGAUAAACCGCGAUAGGUCAUCACUUCUGGAAUGGGUAAUGACUUAAAUCUAUAUGGCCCCUGGAUUGGACUGCGGCCGAUCAGGCUGUUGGUGAGGUAAUGGCCCACCAAACCUGUAACCGGUACGGGCUCUGAGAGGAGGAGCCCGGAGAUGGGCACUGAGACAAGGGCCCAGGCCCUAUGGGGCGCAGCAGGCGCGAAACCUCUGCAAUAGGCGAAAGCUUGACAGGGUUACUCUGAGUGAUUUCCGUUAAGGAGAUCUUUUGGCACCUCUAAAAAUGGUGCAGAAUAAGGGGUGGGCAAGUCUGGUGUCAGCCGCCGCGGUAAUACCAGCACCCCGAGUGGUCGGGACGUUUAUUGGGCCUAAAGCAUCCGUAGCCGGUUCUACAAGUCUUCCGUUAAAUCCACCUGCUUAACAGAUGGGCUGCGGAAGAUACUAUAGAGCUAGGAGGCGGGAGAGGCAAGCGGUACUCGAUGGGUAGGGGUAAAAUCCGUUGAUCCAUUGAAGACCACCAGUGGCGAAGGCGGCUUGCCAGAACGCGCUCGACGGUGAGGGAUGAAAGCUGGGGGAGCAAACCGGAUUAGAUACCCGGGUAGUCCCAGCUGUAAACGAUGCAGACUCGGUGAUGAGUUGGCUUAUUGCUAACUCAGUGCCGCAGGGAAGCCGUUAAGUCUGCCGCCUGGGGAGUACGGUCGCAAGACUGAAACUUAAAGGAAUUGGCGGGGGAGCA
Molecule: ribosomal RNA, 868 nt
Filed under: uncultured archaeon
Lineage: Archaea
Description: bacterial SSU rRNA
Rfam family: Archaeal small subunit ribosomal RNA
Source: RNAcentral